UGGGGAAUAUUGCACAAUGGGGGAAACCCUGAUGCAGCGACGCCGCGUGAGUGAAGAAGUAUUUCGGUACGUAAAGCUCUAUCAGCAGGGAAGAAAAUGACGGUACCUGACUAAGAAGCCCCGGCUAACUACGUGCCAGCAGCCGCGGUAAUACGUAGGGGGCAAGCGUUAUCCGGAUUUACUGGGUGUAAAGGGAGCGUAGACGGCAGCGCAAGUCUGGAGUGAAAUGCCGGGGCUCAACCCCGGAACUGCUUUGGAAACUGUGCAGCUUGAGUGCGGGAGAGGUAAGUGGAAUUCCUAGUGUAGCGGUGAAAUGCGUAGAUAUUAGGAGGAACACCAGUGGCGAAGGCGGCUUACUGGACCGUAACUGACGUUGAGGCUCGAAAGCGUGGGGAGCAAACAGG
This 404-nucleotide ribosomal RNA is filed under the name uncultured bacterium. RNAcentral describes it as "bacterial SSU rRNA". It matches the Rfam family "Bacterial small subunit ribosomal RNA", at positions 355 to 776 of the family's 1533-position model. The record is from RNAcentral.